This 432-nucleotide ribosomal RNA is filed under the name uncultured bacterium. Its description in RNAcentral is "bacterial SSU rRNA". It matches the Rfam family "Bacterial small subunit ribosomal RNA", at positions 917 to 1350 of the family's 1533-position model. The record is from RNAcentral.
GGGCCCGCACAAGCGGUGGAGCAUGUGGUUUAAUUCGAUGCAACGCGAAGAACCUUACCAGGGUUUGACAUCCUGCGAAUCUCUUGGAAACAGGAGAGUGCCUUCGGGAACGCAGUGACAGGUGGUGCAUGGCUGUCGUCAGCUCGUGUCGUGAGAUGUUGGGUUAAGUCCCGCAACGAGCGCAACCCACGUCUUUAGUUGCCAGCAUUUAGUUGGGCACUCUAGAGAGACCGCCGGUGACAAACCGGAGGAAGGUGUGGAUGACGUCAAGUCAUCAUGCCCCUUACGUCCUGGGCUACACACGUACUACAAUGCUACGGACAAAGAGCAGCUAACUCGCGAGAGUACGCAAAUCUCAUAAACCGUGGCUCAGUUCAGAUCGUAGGCUGCAACUCGCCUACGUGAAGGCGGAAUCGCUAGUAAUCGCAGGUC